This 492-nucleotide ribosomal RNA is filed under the name uncultured bacterium. RNAcentral describes it as "partial 16S ribosomal RNA". It matches the Rfam family "Bacterial small subunit ribosomal RNA", at positions 29 to 507 of the family's 1533-position model. The record is from RNAcentral.
AGUGAACGCUGGCGGUAGGCCUAACACAUGCAAGUCGAACGGCAGCACAGUAAGAGCUUGCUCUUACGGGUGGCGAGUGGCGGACGGGUGAGGAAUACAUCGGAAUCUACUUUUUCGUGGGGGAUAACGUAGGGAAACUUACGCUAAUACCGCAUACGACCUACGGGUGAAAGCAGGGGAUCUUCGGACCUUGCGCGAUUGAAUGAGCCGAUGUCGGAUUAGCUAGUUGGCGGGGUAAAGGCCCACCAAGGCGACGAUCCGUAGCUGGUCUGAGAGGAUGAUCGGCGACACUGGAACUGAGACACGGUCCAGACUACUGCGGGAGGCAGCAGUGGGGAAUAUUGGACAAUGGGGGGAAGCAUGAUACAGCCAUACCGCGUGGGAGAAGGAGGCGUUCGGGUUGUAAAGCCCUUUUGUUGGGAAAGAAAAGCAGCAGGUUAAUACCCCGCUGUUCUGACGGUACCCAAAGAAUAAGCACCGGCUAACUUCGUG